RNAcentral lists this non-coding RNA (98 nucleotides) under Oryzias latipes (Japanese medaka). The record is from Rfam by way of RNAcentral. Lineage: Eukaryota; Metazoa; Chordata; Actinopteri; Beloniformes; Adrianichthyidae.
UCAGCUGUUGUACAGGACAAGCAGAAUUCACCAAGUUUUGGAUUGUUCACCCACUACUAGGGAACGUGAGCUGUCUUUAAACCGCAGUGAGACAGGUU